This 508-nucleotide ribosomal RNA is filed under the name uncultured bacterium. RNAcentral describes it as "partial 16S ribosomal RNA". It matches the Rfam family "Bacterial small subunit ribosomal RNA", at positions 28 to 507 of the family's 1533-position model. The record is from RNAcentral.
GACGAACGCUGGCGGCGUGCCUAAUACAUGCAAGUCGAACGCUUCUUUCCUCCCGAGUGCUUGCACUCAAUUGGAAAGAGGAGUGGCGGACGGGUGAGUAACACGUGGGUAACCUACCCAUCAGAGGGGGAUAACACUUGGAAACAGGUGCUAAUACCGCAUAACAGUUUAUGCCGCAUGGCAUAAGAGUGAAAGGCGCUUUCGGGUGUCGCUGAUGGAUGGACCCGCGGUGCAUUAGCUAGUUGGUGAGGUAACGGCUCACCAAGGCCACGAUGCAUAGCCGACCUGAGAGGGUGAUCGGCCACACUGGGGCUGAGACACGGCCCAGACUCCUACGGGAGGCAGCAGUAGGGAAUCUUCGGCAAUGGACGAAAGUCUGACCGAGCAACGCCGCGUGAGUGAAGAAGGUUUUCGGAUCGUAAAACUCUGUUGUUAGAGAAGAACAAGGACGUUAGUAACUGAACGUCCCCUGACGGUAUCUAACCAGAAAGCCACGGCUAACUACGUG